AACGAACGCUGGCGGCAUGCCUAACACAUGCAAGUCGAACGAGACCUUCGGGUCUAGUGGCGCACGGGUGCGUAACGCGGGGGAACCUGCCCUUAGGUUCGGAAUAACUCCCCGAAAGGGGUGCUAAUACCGGAUAAUGUCUUCGGACCAAAGAUUUAUCGCCUUUGGAUGGGCCCGCGUUGGCUUAGCUAGUUGGUAGGGUAAAAGCCUACCAAGGCGACGAUCCAUAGCUGGUCUGAGAGGAUGAUCAGCCACACUGGGACUGAGACACGGCCCAGACUCUUACGGGAGGCAGCAGUGGGGAAUAUUGGACAAUGGGCGAAAGCAUGAUCCAGCAAUGCCGCGUGAGUGAUGAAGGCCUUAGGGUUGUAAAGCUCGUUUACCCGGGAUGAUAAUGACAGUACCGGGAGAAUAAGCACCGGCUAACUCCGUG
This 433-nucleotide ribosomal RNA is filed under the name uncultured bacterium. RNAcentral describes it as "partial 16S ribosomal RNA". It matches the Rfam family "Bacterial small subunit ribosomal RNA", at positions 29 to 507 of the family's 1533-position model. The record is from RNAcentral.